GGAUCACUCACUCCAUUGGACCAGCCACGACGAUGGUGGAGGCUGUUAGUGUCGUGCAUGGCUCUAGUGCAAAAGAAAUGUGUCCCGCAGAGGAUGAAGAAACGGGCCCACGGGAAAAGGAGCUGGGCACAUGCCACUCGGUUCACUGGCCAUUUCAGUGCCUCUUUUGAUUCACGGAAUUCUGAAAACGUAGGAAUAUGGAUUUUAUAGGAUUGCAGUGUCGUGCUCAUUUUUGAAUCCUAAUACAUUAUUUUGGUUUGUUUGAUUGCAUCACAGGAAAAAAAAAUCAUUCCUUUCUCGAAAAAAGUGUUCUUUUCAAGAGAUUUGAGUGGAUGCUAUUUUUUUUUAUGGAAUGUGGUAUAGUAUAAAGGAAUGCUUCUGCAAAAUUCCUAUAUGAUUCAAUCCUAUGAAUCAAACAACCAUUGUAGGAAAAUUUUCUAAGGAUUAUAACCAUCCAAAAUUUCUACAAAUAUCCAUUGAAUCAAAUUGCAUGUGGUUGCGAAAAUAACCACCGACAAAUAAGAGAUCGCUAUGCUACUACUAAGCCGAAAAUUGUACCGUCUCAUGUGAUUCAUGCAUGUACUUUAGUGGCGAUUAGGACUGUAUUUUAUGCUUAGACUGUUCAAUCUGUUUAGUUUAAAAGCUACUCCCUCCAUCUCAUAAUGUAAGACGUUUUUGCAAGCUAAAAUAGGAGUAGUUGUAAAUAUGAGCUACGUAAUUUUUUUUCUAGAUUCGAAGGAUUUUUACAGGAAAUAGUUCAACUACAGUGCACAAAUUUCUUACCUUCAAACGUGCAGGGGUCCCUUAUUUUCAGCUCAUGGGAUGACUUACGGACCCAGAAUGCCAUAAGCUGAAAAGAGGCAUAGCUUAUGCACAACUGCGGAAUUAAGCCCCUCUAUUGACUUUGCCGUCAAUGUUGGUAAAAAUUUACCCACUAGCUGUCAUCUCCCAUAUCCUGAGAACCAAGGCCCUUGCACAAAUCUGUUGCCUCUUCUACUUUUAGGCCGUCGAGGUAGACCUUAUAGGUUGGCUAUUAUUCACUGCAUAGUAAUUCCAGCUAGUGACAACCGGGACUAUUACAAAAUUGCUAUUGUACUCAGGACUCUUCUACUUUUACCAUGACUCAUUAGAUAUUCUUGUAUGUUCCUGGACUCUUGCUGGAAGCUGGAUCCUACCCUUCUUAAUUACUCCUAUAGCCGAAUUUGCAUGGACUCCAUCGCGUUGGAAUCUCUGCAGAAUAUGGAUCAUCAAAAUCGUUGUGGAGGCUAUCGCUAAAAAUUAUGUAAGCUCUCCAUAGCUCAUGCUCAAACUCAGAAUCGCUAUAAAAAGUGUCACCAUCUUUUCCUACGUUUGGGACCCGUUUGUGUUAGCAGCGUAGGCCCAGCUCCGAGUCCAUCGGCAUAUGUUUGGACGUUUCCGGUGCGCAUCGGACACUCCACUACAAGCGGAGAGCCCACUACAUCCCAAAAGACCGGCCUGAAGGGAGUGUGCCAUUCUCCCUUAUAAGGAGCUCCUAGCCUCCUCCCAUAUCCGUGGUGGGACUAAAGUCACUAGCACUGUCCAAGGUCAGGUUCCUGGCACCCCACCCCCCUAGGGAAGCCCCCCUUAGGGUGGUGUGGGGCCCAGCUCUGAUACCACUUGUUAGCAGCCUAGGCCCAGCUCCCGGUCCAUCGGCAUAUGUUCGGACGUUUCCGGUGCGCAUCGGACACCUGGGACGGAGCUUGCAUGUAGGCAUUGGGGUCAAUUGACCCCAAUGAAAUUACUAAAUCCUUCAUUUACUUAGUAUUAAUCAUUUUUGAUUUAUAGAAGAUGACCCCAUUGCCAUGGAUAUGACCCCAUCAAGCUUUUUUUCUAGCUUCGUCCCUGUCGGACACUCCACUACAAGCGGAGAGCCCACAACAUCUCAAAAGACCGGCUUGAAGGGAGUGUGGCACUCUCCCUUAUAAGGAGCUCCUAGCCUCCUCCCAUAUCCGUGGUGGGACUAAAGUCACUAGCACUGCCCAAGUAAGUUUGCAGUUGAGAAGGUUGGUGAUUGCAGCCCUUCGUCGCCGUCUAAGCCCAUAGCCACCACCCUGCUUUUGGCAAAGUUGAUUUUAAAACUUGGCAUGACUUUGAAACAGAAGAGGAUAAUCUUGAUUGUGGUGAUGCUCUGUUUGUCUGGCUCAAACAGAAGCAAAUUGUGGUCGGUGCAUUGAAGUUUUAUCAGAUUUCCGAGAAGGGACUCAAAUGCACAGCUCAGCUGCCAGGAUGUCCUCUCCUAAGAUGCACCCUAAGCGGAUUAUAAAAUUAAACACACACAGCUUUGCUUUUAGUUGAAAAUGAAGGGUCGGAAUCCUUUUAAACAAAUUAUUGACAAUGGAAUUUUAAAGUGUAUUCCAGAAAGAA
Molecule: long non-coding RNA, 2385 nt
Organism: Triticum aestivum (bread wheat)
Lineage: Eukaryota; Viridiplantae; Streptophyta; Magnoliopsida; Poales; Poaceae
Exons: 3
Source: RefSeq, a predicted model, not a curated record